AGUGAACGCUGGCGGUAGGCCUAACACAUGCAAGUCGAACGGCAGCACAGUAAGAGCUUGCUCUUACGGGUGGCGAGUGGCGGACGGGUGAGGAAUACAUCGGAACCUACUUUUUCGUGGGGGAUAACGUAGGGAAACUUACGCUAAUACCGCAUACGACCUACGGGUGAAAGCAGGGGAUCUUCGGACCUUGCGCGAUUGAAUGAGCCGAUGUCGGAUUAGCCAGUUGGCGGGGUAAAGGCCCACCAAGGCGACGAUCCGUAGCUGGUCUGAGAGGAUGAUCAGCCACACUGGAACUGAGACACGGUCCAGACUCCUACGGGAGGCAGCAGUGGGGAAUAUUGGACAAUGGGCGCAAGCCUGAUCCAGCCAUACCGCGUGGGUGAAGAAGGCCUUCGGGUUGUAAAGCACUUUUGUUGGGAAAGAAAAGCAGCAGGUUAAUACCUCGCUGUUCUGACGUUACCCAAAGAAUAAGCACCGGCUAACUUCGUG
RNAcentral lists this ribosomal RNA (492 nucleotides) under uncultured bacterium. RNAcentral's name for it is "partial 16S ribosomal RNA". It matches the Rfam family "Bacterial small subunit ribosomal RNA", at positions 29 to 507 of the family's 1533-position model. The record is from RNAcentral.